Molecule: long non-coding RNA, 1920 nt
Filed under: Canis lupus familiaris (dog)
Lineage: Eukaryota; Metazoa; Chordata; Mammalia; Carnivora; Canidae
Description: lncRNA (ENSCAFG00845006470.1)
Source: RNAcentral
UUGGGCCGCGGCCUGCGCGGGGUGGUCGUUCGCCUGUGGGGCCGCGUGGGCCCGAGCUGACCUUCGCGUCCGCGCGGAUGUCCGCCCCGUCACGCGCUCACGCUCCGCGCGGGGAGCCUGCAGGUUGCGGCGCUGCGAGGGCGGGGCCCGCCCCUGCUCGUCCGAGCGAGGAUGCCCGAGAGUAAUAACGCUGCACGCGGAAGGGAGGCGGCGGCGGCCCGAAGACCUGGGGCGAGCCGGGGUCAGGGGCCAGGGGCAGAGGCCCGCGGGGACUGGAGAGGGACCAGGAGCAGAGCCGGCCCAGUCCUGGGGGGGUGCCCUCAGGGUCAUCACCCCAUCGUACAGAGGUGGGGUGCAGGCAGGUCUCCCUGCUGUGGGGUGCCCUCAGGGUCAUCACCCCAUCGUACACAGAGUUGGGUGCAGGCAGGUCUCCCUGCUGUGGGGUGCCCUCAGGGUCAUCACCCCAUCGUACAGAGGUGGGGCGCAGGCAGGUCUCCCUGCUGUGGGGUGCCCUCAGGGUCAUCACCCCAUCGUACAGAGGUGGGGUGCAGGCAGGUCUCCCUGCUGUGGGGUGCCCUCAGGGUCCUCACCCCAUCGUACACAGAGUUGGGUGCAGGCAGGUCUCCCUGCUGUGGGGUGCCCUCAGGGUCAUCACCCCAUCGUACAGAGGUGGGGUGCAGGCAGGUCUCCCUGCUGUGGGGUGCCCUCAGGGUCAUCACCCCAUCGUACAGAGGUGGGGUGCAGGCAGGUCUCCCUGCUGUGGGGUGCCCUCAGGGUCAUCACCCCAUCGUACAGAGGUGGGGUGCAGGCAGGUCUCCCUGCUGUGGGGUGCCCUCAGGGUCAUCACCCCAUCGUACAGAGGUGGGGUGCAGGCAGGUCUCCCUGCUGUGGGGUGCCCUCAGGGUCCUCACCCCAUUGUACACAGAGUUGGGUGCAGGCAGGUCUCCCUGCUGUGGGGGGCCCUCAGGGUCAUCACCCCAUCGUACAGAGGUGGGGUGCAGGCAGGUCUCCCUGCUGUGGGGUGCCCUCAGGGUCAUCACCCCAUCGUACACAGGUGGGGUGCAGGCAGGUCUCCCUGCUGUGGGGUGCCCUCAGGGUCAUCACCCCAUCGUACACAGAGUUGGGUGCAGGCAGGUCUCCCUGCUGUGGGGUGCCCUCAGGGUCAUCACCCCAUCGUACACAGAGUUGGGUGCAGGCAGGUCUCCCUGCUGUGGGGUGCCCUCAGGGUCAUCACCCCAUCGUACACAGAGGUGGGUGCAGGCAGGUCUCUCUGCUGUGGGGGUGCCCUUGCUGUCAUCACCCCAUCGUAGACACAGGUGGGUGCAGGCAGGUCUCCUUACUCUUGGGGUGCCCUCGCUGUCAUCACCCCCAUCAUAGACAGAGGUGGGGCACAGGUCUCACUCAAGGCCCCACACGGAGUAAAAUGGGGACAUCAGGGGUGGGGCGUGUUGUGAUGUGUGGCGUUGGAGGUGACAGGAUAUGUCAGGUUUGCCAUUCCAGCCGCACAAUUCAGUGGCCCUGGGUGUUUUCCCAGUUACACAGCUGUCACCACUCUCUACCCACAGGGGAUUUCGUCCUCCCAAGUUGGGAGUCCACACCAGCUCAGCAGUAACUCCCUACUUCCCCAGCCCCUGGCACCCACCACUUUGGACUCAUUUGACUGCUCUGGGGUCCCGACUGGAUGCAGACGUGGAAGCAGACUCUAUUUACCCUCUCGGACAUUCUCUCCAUAUCCUGGCGUAUAUCAGAAUUUCAUUCCCUUUUAAAGCUGAAUAAUGGGGCAGCCCGGGUGGCUCAGCAGUUUAGCGCCGCCUUCAGCCCCGGGCCUGAUCCCAGGGUCCUGGGAUCGAGUCCCACAUCAGGCUCCCUGCAUGGAGCCUGCUUCUCUCUCUGCCUGUGUCUUUGCCUCUCUCUCUCUCU